GUGAAGCCCUCCGUGGGUGUUGAUCUUUGCUGAGUUCUAGAAGAUUUAUUUGUUGAUUCUCGUGAAGAAAUUUAGCUGCUCCAGGUUUUACGUUCUUCAAGUGUCCACAACUUCCUGAUUUGACUUCAGGAUGAGUGCCUUUAGGUGGUGAUGCAUAAUAUGAUUGUGAUGUAGGGCGAUGAAUCUUUCGAUGGGCAGGGGAGCAGCUUCGGGCUCUACUAGAAUUGGAUGAAGAUCCCUCCAUUGAGGAAAUUGAGAAAGUAU
This 264-nucleotide unclassified non-coding RNA is filed under the name Hevea brasiliensis (rubber tree). Lineage: Eukaryota; Viridiplantae; Streptophyta; Magnoliopsida; Malpighiales; Euphorbiaceae. The record is from RNAcentral.